UACAGAGGUCUCAAGCGUUGUUCGGAUUCAUUGGGCGUAAAGGGUGCGUAGGCGGCGGUGUAAGUCGGAUGUGAAAUCCCGAGGCUCAACCUUGGAACUGCAUUCGAUACUGCAUCGCUAGAGUACUGGAGAGGAGAUUGGAAUUUACGGUGUAGCAGUGAAAUGCGUAGAUAUCGUAAGGAAGACCAGUGGCGAAGGCGAAUCUCUGGACAGUUACUGACGCUGAGGCACGAAGGCUAGGGUAGCAAACGGG
RNAcentral lists this ribosomal RNA (253 nucleotides) under uncultured bacterium. RNAcentral describes it as "partial 16S ribosomal RNA". It matches the Rfam family "Bacterial small subunit ribosomal RNA", at positions 524 to 776 of the family's 1533-position model. The record is from RNAcentral. RNAcentral also lists the same sequence under 1 other name.